Non-coding RNA from Vicia faba (fava bean), 204 nucleotides. The record is from the annotation of a GenBank genome assembly. Lineage: Eukaryota; Viridiplantae; Streptophyta; Magnoliopsida; Fabales; Fabaceae.
AUGAAGAUGAAUGAAGGUUUGAGAGAGGUAUCAGAUUUUUUUGUGAGUUUCUGUUUUGAAUUUUUUAGAACGAAAUCAUGUUAUCCUUCUUCUGAGUUUUUCUGUGAAUUUGUAUUUUUCUUUGUGAGUUCAGAAAGAGAGAGAGGAGUGUUUUGUGUGAUUCUCUCUGUAUUUUGCUUUCAAUCGCGUUCUCCUUUUCUGUAA